RNAcentral lists this ribosomal RNA (1190 nucleotides) under Acinetobacter johnsonii. RNAcentral describes it as "bacterial SSU rRNA". It matches the Rfam family "Bacterial small subunit ribosomal RNA", at positions 37 to 1254 of the family's 1533-position model. Lineage: Bacteria; Pseudomonadati; Pseudomonadota; Gammaproteobacteria; Moraxellales; Moraxellaceae. The record is from RNAcentral.
UGGACUGUCGCAGCUUACCAUGCAGUCGAGCGGGUGAGGUUGCCUCGGUAACUGAGCUAGCGGCGGACGGGUGAGUAAUGCUUAGGAAUCUGCCUAUUAGUGGGGGACAACAUUCCGAAAGGAAUGCUAAUACCGCAUACGCCCUACGGGGGAAAGCAGGGGAUCUUCGGACCUUGCGCUAAUAGAUGAGCCUAAGUCAGAUUAGCUAGUUGGUGGGGUAAAGGCCUACCAAGGCGACGAUCUGUAGCGGGUCUGAGAGGAUGAUCCGCCACACUGGGACUGAGACACGGCCCAGACUCCUACGGGAGGCAGCAGUGGGGAAUAUUGGACAAUGGGCGAAAGCCUGAUCCAGCCAUGCCGCGUGUGUGAAGAAGGCCUUUUGGUUGUAAAGCACUUUAAGCGAGGAGGAGGCUACUUGGAUUAAUACUCUAGGAUAGUGGACGUUACUCGCAGAAUAAGCACCGGCUAACUCUGUGCCAGCAGCCGCGGUAAUACAGAGGGUGCGAGCGUUAAUCGGAUUUACUGGGCGUAAAGCGUGCGUAGGCGGCUUCUUAAGUCGGAUGUGAAAUCCCUGAGCUUAACUUAGGAAUUGCAUUCGAUACUGGGAAGCUAGAGUAUGGGAGAGGAUGGUAGAAUUCCAGGUGUAGCGGUGAAAUGCGUAGAGAUCUGGAGGAAUACCGAUGGCGAAGGCAGCCAUCUGGCCUAAUACUGACGCUGAGGUACGAAAGCAUGGGGAGCAAACAGGAUUAGAUACCCUGGUAGUCCAUGCCGUAAACGAUGUCUACUAGCCGUUGGGGCCUUUGAGGCUUUAGUGGCGCAGCUAACGCGAUAAGUAGACCGCCUGGGGAGUACGGUCGCAAGACUAAAACUCAAUGAAUUGACGGGGCCCGCACAAGCGGUGGAGCAUGUGGUUUAAUUCGAUGCAACGCGAAGAACCUUACCUGGUCUUGACAUAGUAAGAACUUUCCAGAGAUGGAUUGGUGCCUUCGGACUUACAUACAGGUGCUGCAUGGCUGUCGUCAGCUCGUGUCGUGGAGAUGUUGGUUAAGUCCCGCCACGAGCGCAACCCUUUUCUUAUUGCAGCGGGUAGGCCGGACUUAGAUACUGCAGUGACACCUGAGAGCCGGACGACGUCAGUCAUCAUGCUACGACAGCUACACGGCUACAUGGUCGGUACAAGGGUUGCUUAC